CUGCGCCCUGCGGAGCUCCGAACACGUGCGCAGAGGCUGGCUGUGGCAGAUGCAACUGCAGGAUGACUUGAAAGUAGGGCAUCCUUCACCCAUCUGAAGGGAGGAAAUAGUGGCAGGUGACAGUCUGCAUGUGCAGUUUUCAGAUGCCUUCACCUGAAUGACAUCUACCUCCAUCAGGACCCCAGAUGUCUGACAGCCCUGUGUGACACCAAGAUAAGUAACGAUCCCGUUGAAGAUACCACAUUACACUUAGGCUCCUGUUGGCCAUGACAGCUUCUUAGACUUGUUUUUAAUGACCUUGACAGUUUUGUUUUUUUGUUUGUUUGUUUUUGAGACGGAGUCUCUGUCAUCCAGGCUGGAGUGCAAUGUAAUGGCUCAAUCUCAGCUCACUGCAACCUCUGCCUCCCGGGUUCAAGUGAUUCUCCUGCCUCAGCCUCCCCAGUAGCUGGGAUUACAGGCAUGAGCCACCGUGCCCGGCUGCCUCCUAAAUUCUCAAAACAUUCCAUUUUUAUUCUGUGGUCUUACUUUAUUCUGUCAUGUAGAGAAUAGUGGUUGAGCCUGUUGUCUUUUGAGAGUGGAUGCUGUAGUCCUUACAUGGCUGACUUUCAGCCCGUAAGCUUAUAGUAGAGGAUGGGGAUUUUGUUAUCAGCUGCUAAAAGGGAGAAGCCAAGCCCAGAACUAAGGGUUCUGAUGAGUUGAAGGAGAGGGAAGAUGCCCCUCAAGGCAAAGAGCCUCUGAGUUAGAAUCUGUGCUUCACCAGAGUGACAAUGGUAGAACUUCUCCUUCUCAGUAUUAAUUCUCCUGGAGAGAACUCUAGGGUUGUCUAAACCUGUUCAACUAGGCUGACUACCCCAGCAAGUGAUGGGUUGGACAUAAGGCAAAGAACAGGAGGGGUGAAAGGGGGCAGAACAGACAAGUUCUGUCCCAGCCUCUGCUACCUCUAACCCCAUGGCAUUCUAUC
This 961-nucleotide long non-coding RNA is filed under the name Homo sapiens (human). RNAcentral's name for it is "non-protein coding SNHG4:20". The record is from RNAcentral. Lineage: Eukaryota; Metazoa; Chordata; Mammalia; Primates; Hominidae.